UUUAAAGAGAGUUUGAUCCUGGCUCAGGACGAACGCUGGCGGCGUGCCUAAUACAUGCAAGUCGAACGAACGGAGGAAGAGCUUGCUCUUCCAAUGUUAGUGGCGGACGGGUGAGUAACACGUGGGCAACCUGCCUGUAAGUUGGGGAUAACUCCGGGAAACCGGGGCUAAUACCGAAUGAUAAGAUGUGGCGCAUGCCACGCCUUUGAAAGAUGGUUUCGGCUAUCGCUUACAGAUGGGCCCGCGGUGCAUUAGCUA
This 258-nucleotide ribosomal RNA is filed under the name Listeria monocytogenes. RNAcentral describes it as "partial 16S ribosomal RNA". It matches the Rfam family "Bacterial small subunit ribosomal RNA", at positions 1 to 247 of the family's 1533-position model. Lineage: Bacteria; Bacillati; Bacillota; Bacilli; Caryophanales; Listeriaceae. The record is from RNAcentral.